ACAGGGAUUGCCCUAGUAACGGCGAGUGAAGCGGCAACAGCUCAAAUUUGAAAUCUGGCGUCUUUGGCGUCCGAGUUGUAAUUUGCAGAGGGCGCUUUGGCAUUGGCAGCGGUCCAAGUUCCUUGGAACAGGACGUCACAGAGGGUGAGAAUCCCGUACGUGGUCGCUAGCCUUUACCGUGUAAAGCCCCUUCGACGAGUCGAGUUGUUUGGGAAUGCAGCUCUAAAUGGGAGGUAAAUUUCUUCUAAAGCUAAAUACUGGCCAGAGACCGAUAGCGCACAAGUAGAGUGAUCGAAAGAUGAAAAGCACUUUGGAAAGAGAGUUAAAAAGCACGUGAAAUUGUUGAAAGGGAAGCGCUUGCAGCCAGACUUGCCUGUAGUUGCUCAUCCGGGUUUUUACCCGGUGCACUCUUCUACGGGCAGGCCAGCAUCAGUUUGGGCGGUUGGAUAAAGGUCUCUGUCAUGUACCUCCUCUCGGGGAGAUCUUAUAGGGGAGACGACAUGCAACCAGCCUGGACUGAGGUCCGCGCAUCUGCUAGGAUGCUGGCGUAAUGGCUGUAAGCGGCCCGUCUUGAAACACGGACCAAGGAGUCUAACAUCUAUGCGAGUGUUUGGGUGUCAAGCCCGAACGCGUAAUGAAAGUGAACGGAGGUGGGAACCUUUCGGGGUGCACCAUCGACCGAUCCUGAUGUCUUCGGAUGGAUUUGAGUAAGAGCAUAGCUGUUGGGACCCGAAAGAUGGUGAACUAUGCUUGAAUAGGGUGAAGCCAGAGGAAACUCUGGUGGAGGCUCGCAGCGGUUCUGACGUGCAAAUCGAUCGUCAAAUUUGGGCAUAGGGGCGAAAGACUAAUCGAACUAUCUAGUAGCUCGUUCCUGCCGAAGUUUCCCUCAGGAUAGCAGUAACGUUUUCAGUUUUAUGAGGUAAAGCGAAUGAUUAGAGGCCUGGGGGUUGAAACAACCUU
Molecule: ribosomal RNA, 960 nt
Filed under: Epicoccum mezzettii
Lineage: Eukaryota; Fungi; Ascomycota; Dothideomycetes; Pleosporales; Didymellaceae
Description: partial large subunit ribosomal RNA
Rfam family: Eukaryotic large subunit ribosomal RNA
Source: RNAcentral